This is a long non-coding RNA of Culicoides brevitarsis, 480 nucleotides long. RefSeq lists it as uncharacterized. The transcript has 2 exons. The record is from RefSeq and is a predicted model, not a curated record. NCBI's taxonomy places the organism in Eukaryota, Metazoa, Arthropoda, Insecta, Diptera, Ceratopogonidae.
CAUAACUGUCAUAUUUUUCCACGCUGUAUUGUUUUGCUCGUACAAAUUUGGUAGUUUUAAGUAAAUUUUCGCGAUCUCGAGUGCCGGAAAAGCUCGAAAAAACAAGAUGAAGUGCUUAACUUUCCGGAACAUGUGGAAGUUCUGUAGGAAAAACGGAUUAAAUGAUAUUUUGUAACAAAAUAAGUGCGGCUUUGUAUUACAAAGCCUUUGCAAUCAUCAAAAAUUGAAAUGUAAAAAUUUACGUGCCUUUUUUUUGCUGAUUCUAUGACUCGAGGACAGGACAGAUGAACGAUUUUUGGACCUACAAACGGAAAUUUAGUGACAAAAAGGCGUCAUUUUAAGUAGAACUUGUUUCGAAGAGAACAAAAAGCUGAUAUUCAAGUGAUAAAUGUGGGUUUUUUGACUUAAAAACUUUUAUUUUAUGUUAAUUGAAGCUUUUUGUGAUAAGUUUUUAAUAAAUUUGAAUAAAAACAAGGAAAA